AGUGAACGCUGGCGGUAGGCCUAACACAUGCAAGUCGAACGGCAGCACAGUAAGAGCUUGCUCUUACGGGUGGCGAGUGGCGGACGGGUGAGGAAUACAUCGGAAUCUACUUUUUCGUGGGGGAUAACGUAGGGAAACUUACGCUAAUACCGCAUACGACCUACGGGUGAAAGCAGGGGAUCUUCGGACCUUGCGCGAUUGAAUGAGCCGAUGUCGGAUUAGCUAGUUGGCGGGGUAAAGGCCCACCAAGGCGAGGAUCCGUAGCCGGUCUGAGAGGAUGGUAGGCCACACUGGAAGUGAGACACGGACCAGACUCCUACGGGAGGCAGCAGUGGGGAAUAGUGGACAAUGGGCGGAAGUCUGAUCCAGCCAUACCGCGUGGGUGAAGAAGGCGUUCGGGUUGUAAAGCCCGUUUGUUGGGAAAGAAAAGCAGCAGGUUAAUACGCAGCUGUUCUGACGGUAACCAAAGAAUAAGCACCGGCUAACUUCGUG
Molecule: ribosomal RNA, 492 nt
Filed under: uncultured bacterium
Lineage: Bacteria
Description: partial 16S ribosomal RNA
Rfam family: Bacterial small subunit ribosomal RNA
Source: RNAcentral